Pundamilia nyererei is the source of this 107-nucleotide long non-coding RNA. RefSeq lists it as uncharacterized. Lineage: Eukaryota; Metazoa; Chordata; Actinopteri; Cichliformes; Cichlidae. The record is from RefSeq and is a predicted model, not a curated record. The transcript is spliced from 3 exons.
CACGACCGAGUGUUUUAACCUGACAGCCUGAGGUGUUCUUCAGUAAACUGGACUACCCGACAGAAGGACCCGAGGCCCCGCUGCACUUUUUCGGAUGCAGCAGCAGA